This 463-nucleotide ribosomal RNA is filed under the name uncultured bacterium. RNAcentral's name for it is "bacterial SSU rRNA". It matches the Rfam family "Bacterial small subunit ribosomal RNA", at positions 28 to 474 of the family's 1533-position model. The record is from RNAcentral.
GAUGAACGCUGGCGGCAUGCCUAAUACAUGCAAGUCGAACGAGAGGAAGGAAAGCUUGCUUUUCUGAAUCUAGUGGCGAACGGGUGAGUAACACGUAGGUAACCUGCCCAUGUGCCCGGGAUAACUUCUGGAAACGGAUGCUAAAACCGGAUAGGUAGCAGACAAGCAUUUGACUGCUAUUAAAGUGGCUAAGGCCAUGAACAUGGAUGGACCUGCGGUGCAUUAGCUAGUUGGUGAGGUAACGGCCCACCAAGGCGACGAUGCAUAGCCGGCCUGAGAGGGCGGACGGCCACAUUGGGACUGAGACACGGCCCAAACUCCUACGGGAGGCAGCAGUAGGGAAUUUUCGUCAAUGGGGGGAACCUUGAACGAGCAAUGCCGCGUGAGUGAAGAAGGUCUUCGGAUCGUAAAGCUCUGUUGUAAGAGAAAAACGACAUUCAUAGGGAAUGAUGAGUGAGUGAUG